AUGGCGCGCAGCUGAGAUGUAUAUUUACAUCGCGAAGUGUUGUACUCCCUCCGUUCCUAAAUAUAAGUCUUUUUAGACAUUUCACUAGGUGACUACAUACGGAGCAAAAUGAGUGAAUCUAAACUCUAAAUAUGUCUAUAUACAUCCGUAUGUAGUUCUCUAGUGAAACCUCUAAAAAGACUUAUAUUUAGGAACGGAGGGAGUACUUUACAUCUUCAGGAGACAGACAUGUAGUCACGAAAGAUUACUGCAGCCGUAAGGCACGGCAUCAAUGUGGCACAUAAGGCAACAGGUGGAGAGGGCUGUGGCUGUGACUAGCUCAAGCUUUGAUCUCUGAGCGCGUGCACAUGGAUGGCUGCUGGGCGAAAAUCCUAGACUUACGGACAACAGGUCAGGGAAGGAGCAUACGGGAUUACGUGUCCCCGUGCUAAUCUCCCUCCACCCCCUGAUUUCAACCGUGGGACCAUCUGAUUUUCAAUCAACAGUUGCCAUGUCAGCCUGUAGGUUCUAGUCGGUAAAUUUGAGCUCAUAGUGGGAGUAACUUAGGUAGUAACAUAGCACGUCUCGAGAAUUUUUUGCUUAUGUGGCAAGUAGUUAAUGAGAAGUAGUAAUAUAAUACUCCCUCUGUAAACUAAUAUAAGAGUGUUUACAUCACUAAAAUAGUAAUCUAAAUGCUCUUAUAUUAGUUUACGGAGGGAGUAUGUUAUUGUAACAUAGCGCUUUUCAAGACAACAUGAGUCUACAAGUUAUUAAAUAAGGUCACAUAUAACACUAGUACUAUGCUAUUUUGCACUAUGAAAAUAGUAACUUAGACUAUUAUCAUGCAUAUGACACUAGUCUAAGUUGCUCGCUGCUGGGUGGGAAUUGAAUCGGGGAAAGGAGAUGAGAGGAAGAGCAUUCCCUGCUUGCCUCACUGAUUGCCGCCGUACGAGGAUGGAACCGGAGGAGAAAGGAGUGGACGGGUAUCACGCACGCGCGCGCGUACACAGUCCAUAUCGUCGGAAUCGUAUUCCCCGUGCUCCCACUCGAUCGGCCUCCUCUUUAUCUUCGCCCUCUCCCGCGCCUCCAUUCUUCACCAACACACACGGCCCGGCCCUUCCUCGUGAAGCAGAGUCCGUCGCCUCGUCUCAUACAGUCCCAGGCCGGUCUCUGCUCUGCUGCCACGCCAUGAUCGGAGACAUCUUCCGGUACAUCGCGGGCGAGGAUGAGGAGGAACAUGCCGAUGAGCUUCCCGACGAGGAGCCGGCGUUUUUGCCGGUUGAACAACCUCACCAUGCGCCUGCAUGCACGGUUCUUCCUCCACAGGUAGUACCAGGAGGACCUGCACCUGUUCGUGCCUUGAUGAGGUCGUUCAACCAGCAAAACGGCGGCCGUCGUUGGUGACGGCGGGGCCUGGCGGUGCCUAAGGCUGUCGGCUUGAGGCACUCGUCAGUGACGACGAUGCUAUUGCAAGCAUAUCUCCUGAAGCAGCUGCCAGCCGGCGUCAGCUCGCGGCGGCGACCCCAUACUCGGCGAAGCUCCUUGCCCUUCACCUCUAGGGCGCGGACGGAGCGCCUCUCCACGGUGUCGCGUGGGGCUGCGGCGUAGCAGUCGGUGACGGGGAAGCGGCUUCCGGAGCGUCGUUGCUCCGGCUCCAAACAUGCGGCCGGCCGCCCUGGCUCGGAGAUGAUAUCCGAGCCUAUUGUUUUCUAUAUUUUGAAUUUCCUGAGGAACGGCUGCAUAUCUUGUAGCGAUCCAUGGCGUUGGCUCUUUCUUUCUCGUCUCAUAAAGUAGACACCAAUGAUUUGCUCUAGUUUGAGCCUAUUGUUCUCUAUAUUUCGAAUUUCCUCAGGAAUGGAUACAAAUCUUGCAACGAUUCAUGGCUUUGACUCUUUCUUUCC
This is a long non-coding RNA of Triticum aestivum (bread wheat), 1880 nucleotides long. RefSeq lists it as uncharacterized. Lineage: Eukaryota; Viridiplantae; Streptophyta; Magnoliopsida; Poales; Poaceae. The transcript has 2 exons. The record is from RefSeq and is a predicted model, not a curated record.